UGGCUAAAAUAUUGACUCCAUCAUUAUUAUUAUGUAGUUUUUAAAAACGUUUGUUUAAAAUAUUAAGCGGAAAAUUAGUUUUCAUUUAAAAAAUCAAAUUUUCUAAUAUUUAUAUAAGAGAGGUUGAUUCUCUUUGAUGAUAUUAUCAACAUUACACAAUUAUCUCAUGUUCAGGCAUCUUCAAGUCGACAAUACUGCGAGGACCCAGAAAUGGUGGACAUACGAGAAAGAGCUGACUCUUGAAGUUGAGCCAAGUGCCUUUCAAUUAUGGGAUUGCGGACUAUCUGGAAUAAUUACAAAGUCUUGAUUGUUAUGGGCACGAGCCUUGGACUCAUACACUGGGGUUGGUACAACGUCAAGUCGCACCCUGCGCUACACAAGAAUAAACAGGACUAUAUGCCCGAACCAGGCAUUGUGGCAUAUGUUUCGCCACCUCAAGCCCCUGCCAAGGCAAAGUAGCAUGUGAAGUGACGUACACAUCCUUCAGAAAGGACAACACCGACUAGGCUAUACAGUGGACUGAGACUAUGAAGCCCCAGAGCUGGUUGAAGAAGAACUGGCUGUGGGUGGCUGGGGGGUCCUUCCUUGGCAUCCAUUUAACCACCUGGCUCAUGCAGAGGGCUAUGAGAAGCGUCGCUCGCUCUGAGAUGGCACUGAAAGAGAAGGAUUCCCAGGAGUGACUGGUGGUGAGGCGUUUUGCCAGUGGACUACUAUCUAUUUAACGAUUCACGUGUGGAGUAAAUGGAAGAUAAUGAUGUAAUUACCUGUGCUUGAUUAGCUGUAAAUGUUAUUCCUCUGUUAGAGAUCAAAUAAAACGCUGAAUUUCACAAUAAGUCAAA
Molecule: non-coding RNA, 839 nt
Organism: Oncorhynchus mykiss (rainbow trout)
Lineage: Eukaryota; Metazoa; Chordata; Actinopteri; Salmoniformes; Salmonidae
Source: RefSeq, a predicted model, not a curated record